GAAUGCAUAAAUUCCAUGAAAUAACAAUCAUAUAAUGACCUGAGCACCAGCACACUUAAACAUGUACCUAGAACAGGUGAGUGUGUGUUUUUGGCAAUUGGCAUAGGCUUUCAAAGGGUAACAUCUCCCUGUUGGACUAUUCCUAGGCACUAUGGCUAGCGACACUAUUUGGGGCCUCCCCCUACCACUUUUUUAACUUAUUUUUUCUUCAUGUCUCAGAGUCAGUAUUUUCUAACAUUUCUAGUCUCUCCAAGACCCCACCUUAAAUUGCUAAAGCUAAUGUCUGUUCUUUUCUCUUCCUCCUGAGAGAGACCUGUGAGUUGGAUGGAAGUGACAUUGAAGUAGCAAAAGAAGUGGAUUCUGUACUGAUUUCUUCAGUGGAGUAGCAUCAUGAACCUUGGGCAAAUCACUCAGACUCUUUGGAACUGUGAAAUGGAGGUCCCUGUUAAGUCUAAAAUCUCAUUCUUUCCAUCUCAUGGCCUGUCUACAUCCUGUUCCAAUGAGUUCUCAUACCUGAGCCAUCCCUCUAGUGCCCACCAGAACCAGUCUGUGAGCCAAGAUCUUUGGCAAGUGUACAACUGCUCGGAGCCUCAAGCUGCUCAUUUGUGAAAUCGGGGGAAGAAUACCUGUCUCAGCACAUUGUUAGAGUGUUAAACAUGUGGGCACACGUGUGUGUGUGUGUGUGUGUGUGUGUGUGUGUGUGGCUUUGAACAGAGCCUGAUGUAUGGAAAACACUGAAGUGCUUGCUGUCAUUAGCAUAUCCUCUCUAUUCUGCUCUCAGUGCUUGUUGAAAGCAACGUGCACACCACAAAGAAGGCUUUUUUCAAUGGGGUCUGCCAAGGAAUAUAGAAACAGAGAAAGAACUUACUGUUUAUUAGCAAACCUUACUCUGAAGCCACAGGAAAGAGUAAAUUAUCCCCAUUAUAGUGGACCUGACUGGAGCUGAGUUUGGGGACUUAGACACCACCUCCAACUUGGGGAGCCAACUGUCUAAAGGCUCUGUCUGAGAACUUCAAAAAAAAGCCAGCCUUGGCUGACAGGGCCCACAGAUCCUUGCUUACUACAGCAAGUCUUCAGGGGAUGGGGGAGAACUAGCAGAUUUCAUUAAACUGCAGUCUUAAUAUGGUGGGACUGGAGAUGACCCAGACCUCAGGAGCUGGGACAGCAAACUUCUCUCUGGCCUUCAGAGUUAAAAUUCCCCGAUCUGGCACUGGGCCAGCCCUAGAGAAUCAGAAAAGUGGCAAGCCAUGGAAAUGUUCUGUGUUUGUGCCUGAGAGAAGUUUUGACCGGAGUUUUCCAUGCAGGACUGUUUCGCAUGUGUAUGUGUGUUAAAUAUUCUGUAACAUCUGAUUCAAGAAGAAGCUAAACCGUAAAAAAGCCAACAGUAGUCUGACUAGGCCAAGGGGAAAAAGGGUCAAGAGUUCAGUCCCGGCCCGCUAAGCCCUCAGGACAGAUCAGGAAUAGAGAUUUAUUUAAGAGCACAUGUGCGGCCUUGGAGAGGGCAGACAGAGGAAUAUGAGAGAGGAGGGGUUUGAAUUGCUGGUGGAAAAGAGGCAGUGGAAUUAUACUUGGGGCGGGGGGGAAAGCUUUUCAAAUAAAACACAUCUGCCAGAAGAGAAGCUAGAACAAGGGUAGGGAAGAGUGGUCCUGAAGGAGGUGGGGGUGCUUAGCUGUAUCGUCCGGUCCAGUGCCCUCGUUUUUGAGAUGGAGAGCCCGAGGCCAGUUAGUGGCUUGGCCUGGCCUCUGAGGCUGGUGCUCUCCUCACAUCUUGCUGUUUCUAGAUGUGGUUCUUUGGUUGGAGGGGGCGCUUACCUUCUUUCCUUGACCUUCCCACCCUCAACCAGUGUGACUCCAGCGGGGGCUCUGCUGACAAUAUGCAGCUGUAGCAAGGGAUUGAAGAUGGCCUGUAAGGAGGAAGCGCAAGGAGGGAAGAGCCUGUGCAAAGGGAAACCAGAGUCCGCUGAGCUUGGACCACCCUCACCCCCAGAAAAUCAGCACCAGGGCCCUUAAACUCAGACUAACGUGACUUGUCCCUGCACCUCUCAGCAACUCUGGAGGCUCCUAGGUUGCUGAAUGCGUCUUGAUGUUUCAGCGCCCAGAAAUGUCAACAAAUCUCUUGGGUGAAUUUCAGAGGGGAGCAAUAAACAUGUUGGGAGACUGGAAGAAAAGAUCAAAGGGACCAGAGUGUGGGAACUGAGGUCGUUAGGUUUUAGGUACACGAGCGCUCAACAAUGGGAGAAGACUUUUCCAGUUGUAAGCACCCAAGGACCAGAAGAGGAAGGAACAAAUCUUAAAUGGAAUCUGCCCAGCUGCAGGCCAAAGAAGACUGGUUCAAAUUGCUGUGUUCCUCUUGGCUGCUGGGUCCUGUAGGCACGGUGCAUCUCAGUACUGGUGUCCUGAGGCUUUGCAAAUCAGGAUGGCGAGUAUCUGGUUUGGCUAUUAUUUCCAUGUGGGGAAAAUGGAGGAAAAGAACAAUUCCGAUUCCCUGCAGCCCCAGUCUUGUUGCCUGCCAGCAGUGGAGAUUGUUCACAGUCGGGCGCUACUCAAAGGUUCCUGGUGUCUAACAGGUGCCAGCAGCCACUCAGGACACCCGUUGGAGCUCACCUUCACCAUCCCGCCCCAUCACCAUAACAACCACCUGUGGCUUCAAACCCUGUUCUAAAGCUCAUCUGCCAAGCAUCAUGGAAGGAGCCACGAAUGAAAAGGGUUGAAAGGGAAGGCAGCCCACCUUGCAGUAUCUACGUCUGAAAGGCAGCCUUUCUGCUGGAAGAAAGGACAGUGGGGAUGGCCUCUGGCUGGUGACUUUCCACACUGCCAGGUCCUUAGAGUCUUGAAAGCCAGCAAGAACUGUUUCUUCGCAGUAGUAGCUGCCUGGGUUCCAAGACUCAGCCCCCUUGUAGGCGGGUGGGGCCAUAGGACUAGUUCUGGCAACUGAAAUGACAGCAGAAGUUCACUUCCAGGCUGAAGAAGAAACUCAUGGGCUUCCCUGGUGGCGCAGUGGUUGAGAGUCUGCCUGCUGAUGCAGGGGACACGGGUUCGUGCCCCGGUCCGGGAAGAUCCCACAUGCCGCGGAGCAGCUGGGCCCCUGAGCCAUGGCCGCUGAGCCUGUGCGUCUGGAGCCUGUGCUCCGCAAUGGGAGAGGCCACAACAGUGAGAUGACCGCGUACCGCACAAAAAAAAAAAAAAAAAAAAAGAAACUCAUGCAUGAUUCUCCAGUCUCUCUCUUCCCCUGCCAAUUGUGCAGUUGGGCAAUUGUGGCAGAGGCCUUGAGUUUACAUGGUGGGCCAAGAGAUCAAAACAGCCAGGGUCUUGGAGUCACUGCAUGGCAGGCUGCUGUGAGUGGCAAAUACACACUAAUUGUAUAAAACCACUGAGAUUCUUAGGACUGUUUGUUACUACAGCACAACCUUGCCUAUCCUGACUAACACACAAACUGAGUCUCAGUUUCCCCUCCCCUACUUCACAUGACUGUGGUGAAGAUAUAAUAGAGAAUAUGUGUCAAGCUGUUAGCUCAAUGUUGACUCAUAGAAGGGACUCACUGAAUGUUUAAUUCUUGCCCACCCCUAGCAAGAUGGUCAUUCUUGGUAAAGUCACACAAGGCCACCCGACCAGACCUUCCCAUGGACCUCUGGAGCAUAGCUAUGAGAUCAGUAGUUCCUCAUGGAAGCAGGCAUGCCAUCCUUAUUAAGCUGCAGGUAUUAUGAGUUCUGUCUCUCCACACUUCCCAGUUAUUUCUGUGGAAAUCCUGGGGUCGUAAUUUGGAUUUGUUGAGAGAUGUGGCACUGACAGCCCCUGACAUCUGUUUACAACAAGCUGUGACAACUCUGCUUUCCCUGCACCACUGCCACCAUCGGCUUCCAUCCACAGCAGGGGGCAGGGGUGGGGCUGCUGAAUGGUUGGGAGUUGGGAGGGAGCUACCAUUGCCCCUCCCGGUCCAUCCCUCGACUCUUUA
Molecule: long non-coding RNA, 3952 nt
Organism: Lagenorhynchus albirostris (white-beaked dolphin)
Lineage: Eukaryota; Metazoa; Chordata; Mammalia; Artiodactyla; Delphinidae
Exons: 5
Source: RefSeq, a predicted model, not a curated record